RNAcentral lists this ribosomal RNA (459 nucleotides) under uncultured bacterium. RNAcentral's name for it is "partial 16S ribosomal RNA". It matches the Rfam family "Bacterial small subunit ribosomal RNA", at positions 338 to 795 of the family's 1533-position model. The record is from RNAcentral.
CCUACGGGUGGCAGCAGUGAGGAAUAUUGGUCAAUGGGCGGGAGCCUGAACCAGCCAAGUCGCGUGAGGGAAGACGGUCCUAUGGAUUGUAAACCUCUUUAGGCGGGGAGCAAUGCCGGGCACGUGUGCCCGGAGGGAGAGUACCCGCAGAAUAAGCAUCGACUAACUCCGUGCCAGCAGCCGCGGUAAUACGGAGGAUGCGAGCGUUAUCCGGAUUUAUUGGGUUUAAAGGGUGCGUAGGCGGAUUUUUAAGUCAGCGGUAAAAGGUCCGGGCUCAACCCGGGCCGGCCGUUGAAACUGGGAUCUUGAGUGGGCGAGAAGUAUGCGGAAUGCGUGGUGUAGCGGUGAAAUGCAUAGAUAUCACGCAGAACUCCGAUUGCGAAGGCAGCAUACCGGCGCCCGACUGACGCUGAGGCACGAAAGCGUGGGGAUCGAACAGGAUUAGAUACCCGUGUAGUC